UUUAUACAAUUGCGUUUUAUACUUUGAUUAUUAUAUUAUGUAAUUUAAUCCUAUUUAAUAUACUGAAUAUUGCAAAAGAUUCUAACGUAGGUACACAAAAUGCAAAAUAAUCCGAUUUGCAAAUACGGAACUGCAAUAAACGUAUUUCUUACGGUUGAAAUUGAUAAUUUGGAUUAAAAAGAUGAGAACUUUGUACGUCUUUGAAAACAAAUAUUUUCUUUCGUAUAGCAAAUGACGUAAGCAGUACAUUUCCGAUAUUUUCGAUUUACACAAGUGCGAUACAAACUAUAAAUACUCCUCGAAGAUAAAAAAAUUCGUCAGUUACGAUCACAUCGUACGAUCAGUGUAACCAACUCACUCUCCAAGAACAAUUCUUAGUAGAAAAUAUUGGCAAGAUGAAGUUCGUUAUUUUCACCAUUUUCAUUAUGAUUGCUAUGGCUGUGGCAUACAAGCGAGGAAAGCAUAGUGAAGAAUCUUAUGAGAGUUAUGAAGCAUCCUGCGUUUCUUUGAGUCACCCUUGUAGACAAACUAGUGAGUGCUGUCGCAAUCUGAAAUGUCAGGAACAUGCUAACAUAUGUGUGCAACAAUACCCAAGGUCCAAAGGAGAUACAAGACCUCGUGGACGACAAAUGCCAUAUUAAUAAGGAUUGAUAUUUCUUUAUAUCUGACUACGGCACUACUUUUCUUUCAUAUAUAUAUUAUGUGUGUAACAAAGAAGACAGUUUCUAUGUUAUUUGUAACCUUGUAACCUUAAAUAAAGACAUUCACAGGAGCUAUCAA
Molecule: long non-coding RNA, 780 nt
Organism: Temnothorax curvispinosus
Lineage: Eukaryota; Metazoa; Arthropoda; Insecta; Hymenoptera; Formicidae
Exons: 3
Source: RefSeq, a predicted model, not a curated record